This 467-nucleotide ribosomal RNA is filed under the name uncultured bacterium. Its description in RNAcentral is "partial 16S ribosomal RNA". It matches the Rfam family "Bacterial small subunit ribosomal RNA", at positions 29 to 507 of the family's 1533-position model. The record is from RNAcentral.
ACGAGCGCUGGCGGCGUGCUUAACACAUGCAAGUCGAACGGAAAGGCCCUGCUUUUGUGGGGUGCUCGAGUGGCGAACGGGUGAGUAACACGUGAGUAACCUGCCCUUGACUUUGGGAUAACUUCAGGAAACUGGGGCUAAUACCGGAUAGGAGCUCCUGCUGCAUGGUGGGGGUUGGAAAGUUUCGGCGGUUGGGGAUGGACUCGCGGCUUAUCAGCUUGUUGGUGGGGUAGUGGCUUACCAAGGCUUUGACGGGUAGCCGGCCUGAGAGGGUGACCGGCCACAUUGGGACUGAGACACGGCCCAGACUCCUACGGGAGGCAGCAGUGGGGAAUAUUGCACAAUGGGCGGAAGCCUGAUGCAGCAACGCCGCGUGCGGGAUGACGGCCUUCGGGUUGUAAACCGCUUUCGCCUGUGACGAAGCGUGAGUGACGGUAAUGGGUAAAGAAGCACCGGCUAACUACGUG